GCCUGGACACGGACAGGAUUGACAGAUUGAGAGCUCUUUCUCAAUUUGGUGGGUGGUGGUGCAUGGCUGUUCUUAGGUGGUGGAGUGAUUUGUCUGGUUAAUUCUGAUAACGAACAAGACUCUGGCAUGCUAAUUUUUUGAAACACUGGAAUGGUUUCUCACAGAGAGAGGUGGAGGCCCCAUCCCUGGAAACAUUCAAGGCCAGGUUGGACGGGGCUCUGAGCAACCUGAUCUGGUUAGCGGUGUCCCGGC
Molecule: non-coding RNA, 252 nt
Filed under: Egretta garzetta (little egret)
Lineage: Eukaryota; Metazoa; Chordata; Aves; Pelecaniformes; Ardeidae
Description: Eukaryotic small subunit ribosomal RNA
Rfam family: Eukaryotic small subunit ribosomal RNA
Source: Rfam by way of RNAcentral